Dermacentor albipictus is the source of this 520-nucleotide non-coding RNA. NCBI's taxonomy places the organism in Eukaryota, Metazoa, Arthropoda, Arachnida, Ixodida, Ixodidae. The record is from RefSeq and is a predicted model, not a curated record.
GGCGGCUUCCUGUCAAUUGGAUGUGUGCAUAGCAUGGGAGCUUCAAUGCUGCCAUUUCAGGUCUGUCGUAGGAGUGGCACGCCCCAGAAAGCUCGCCUUCGUGCAUAGCGUUUGCCACCAGCAUUUCCAGGGAAACAUUACAGAAGCAUAAGCUGCAGCUGCCCGGAAGCGUAGCGGAUAAAGAAUGUUUGGCAACAUGAAAUGGCCUUUGACGACACAGGCGAGUAGUGGAUGCCACACUUCAGUUCUAAUUAAAGUUACAUCAGCACAGAGCAUGUAUGCUACGACCAAGUUGGGUCCAUACUUUGGAUUACCAUGUACAGUGUCACUCUCUUCUGCAUUCCAGAAGGUGGAAGCCAGUGUUUCUUUGCUGUUGCCAUUUCAAUUUAGUAUAUUUUCAUGUUUUCAUGCUCUGCAAAUUACAGCCAGAGGUUGCACGGUCUUGAAAUGAAGACUACUUUUUGUGUUUUCAAGAUAAAAUUUUAGCUAUAAUAAACGGAAUUUCCAAAAAACAAGUUUU